Molecule: long non-coding RNA, 8456 nt
Filed under: Spirodela polyrhiza (greater duckweed)
Lineage: Eukaryota; Viridiplantae; Streptophyta; Magnoliopsida; Alismatales; Araceae
Description: long non-coding RNA (SPOL_LNC000877)
Source: RNAcentral
AAAAAAAUGUAUGCUAAGAACUAAUGUAGGCAAUCAAGCAAUGAUCAUAUUUUCCAACCAUUAAAAAAAAAACUAGGAGGUGGCGUAAAAUAGUCCUGAUUAAUGUCUGUGAAAAUUUCGAUUUCAUGAGAAAUUAAUCUGGUCAAACCAGUUUAUCAGUUCAUCCAUACCGCGUGGAUAAGAGUCUGAAUGUUCUCAUACAGAUAACCCUUCAAGAGUAGAAAAAAUAUAACAGGAAAUAAUCAAAAGUCUACGAAGGACUUUCAUGAAGAAAAUAAUGACGAACGAUGAUGGCUCUGCUAUAUAACUCCCUGUGUUGUCAUUGACUUUACUCAAAUAAUGAGCAUAAAAAGGGUUGACUCUCGGAUAUCUUUUAGAACAUGUGAUGAGAAGCCCCGAUUAGCUACCUUAUUUCUUCAUCGACGUAUGUGAUUUCCAGCUCUCCACGAGCUCGUCCUGGUGCUUUUAUAGGUAUCUAAACACAAAUGAUGAAGGAGAGAUGAACUGUAAAUAUGGUGCAGCAGGAUUCCCAUUAAGAGAAAAUUUACAACAGAUAAUUCCGAAUAUGUGAGAAGGUCCUUUAUCUAUUUAUAGAAAAAAAAAUUGAAUCAAUUUCUCCGCGGUCAUGUUCAAAGAUGAAAGAAUUUCUGUCAUUGAAGAUUCAUUGAGUUAUAUUUCAGUAAAAUCAUCACAGAGAGGGAUCAAUAAAUGGGGCGUCCUUCUAUACAUCUCACCAUCGCCAAAGUCAGAGAGAGCAGUGGAAAAAUAUGCAUGGUGCACAAAAAGAUGAAUGAAAAAUCUCUAAAUCUAAAUUUAGAUUAUCCACUUAUGAUUAAAUUCCACACAAACAUGCGUGAAAUGAUGGGCUUAAACUGCUUAGAUAUGUAUCUAGAUUACUAAAAAAAAUGCGCAAAUCGAUAAAGAUAUCUGUUGUAAAAUGAUGGAUACCCACCAUGUAUAAUGGAUUAUCCAAAGCCAGCUGGCUGCAAGAAAGUCAUAUCUGAAAGCAAAAUCAAACGGUUGUGACAAUGAAUUAUGUGCAUACUGCUGACCGAUUAAUCAAUUUUAAGUAUAAACCACUCGCUCUUAUCUGAAAAUCAGAUUUACCUUUGACUUUGGAAAUGGGUUUUUAUGAAAAAAGGGACUACAUGACUGGCAUGCAGGCCUAUCCCUGACAUCAGUAAUACUUUCUGUCGAAUAACUCAAAGCUUUUUGAAGAGAGAUUCAAGGUGACUGGUGAGGGUUGAAGAAGGGUUUCUUGUGCUUUGAGGGACAUGCAGCAGUCAUUGCCCCGGUGUAAGUUCUAGAAUACGAUGUGCUAUAUAUAGCACUAAUAGUCAGUCCAAAUGUCUAAUACAUGAAGCGUAAGCACAUCUUGAUCAGUCCAUCAUUUGGGGAAAGAAUUCUCAUUUUAUAGAUGUCAUUUCUCAUCCAACUAUCUGUAUGUGGAAGAUAUAAUAAUAUUAACCCUUUCUCAUUCAUCCAUUAUGACGUCCAUGCGCUCUAAAGUUAUUAUUAUUAUGCGUUGUAUCAUUCUGAACCAGGGACAUUCUUAAUCUGAUCACUUCACAAUCUUGCAAAUUUAUUGAUGAAUGACAUUUUUGUGCAGAAAAUCUCCACAAAUAGUAUUUUUGUAGUCUCUGAUUACUCCGCCAAAAAUAAAAAAUGAAAAGGAAUGAAUCAAGAUCCGUUGAUGUGAUCAUUCAUCUUUAUCUACAGUGAGUACAAGAACACCAUACCAGAAGCCCCAAUAAUAUUCUAAUUUCUCAGAAAAGUAACGCUUAAAUAUAUGUAGCCCUUGCAAUCCUUAACAUGCCAUACUCUGUUAUCUACAGAGUUUCUUAUGAAAUGAGAACAAAUUGACCAACCAGAUGGAUUAUGAGGAAGACAUUUUGACAAAAUGAAAGGAAAUAAAACCCACGACUAAUAUAAUAAGUUGGUUGUAUAUUGGGGGCUGAGAACAUAAUCAAUGAUGAUAUUUUGCCGAUUUAAUUCUGCAGCAGUUGUGGAAUAAUCGAGCAGGGGCUGUCAUCACUUACCAAACCAAGAAUUUUGAACGUAUCAAAUUUAACAGCCACCCUUCUUGCAUUCAGAGGUACCAAAUUGGCAGUUACCUAGGAAAAUAACCAUGAAGAUAAGAAGCCCUGACUCUGGUUAAAAUAAGAUAGAAGAUGCUUAUUUGAAUGAUCCAGGAAAUGUCUACAUAGGCAACUGAAAAUAGAAAGGUAUAUAGUCAUGACUCAUAAAAGGAAAGACGCAAAAACACUGCUUCAGUCUAGAAAAGAACAUCUUGCCAUGGAAAGUUUAAGCUCUAAUAUACACAGAUAUAUGAAUAUCAUAUUGCAUAUUUGAGAGAAAGAGGUAGAUAAACAAGUGAGGCUUCUGGAUCUUAGUUUUCACCGUGGCAACAAUGUCUUUUUAUUGUAAAUUUUCUUGUUUAAAAUGACUUUCUUUCGCCCUAAACCUAAAUAUUAUAACAAUAUAUAAUGAAAAAUGAGUUAAAUAUCAUUUCACCAAUUUUACUAAUGGUAAAAAUAUUACAUAAAUUAGGGGGAUCCAAUGCAGGCACUGAAGUGCAUGUAGGAAUUUGGUUGGAACUUGGAUCGUAUUGGAUCAUGGCUACCCAACAAGCGAAUACCUAUUCUUAUUGGAACAACAUAUUAUCAUAGUUUUUGGAAUGCUACUAUAUAGUUUUAAGAAUAAAAAAUCAAUUUAAACUAAGAAAUUAAAAUCAGGCAAGAUAUUAUCCAAGUUCAUCAUUUCAGGGAAAAGUGUAAUGUACUUACAAUCAAUCAAAGAUAUUUCUUAUUUAUAAACAUAGGAGUUAUUAAUUGUAUUCUGUGAGAUCAAUCUAAAUUUAAAUAAUGAGCUCAGAAUGCCUGUCUAUUAGAUACAGUAUGUCAAAUGUUCCAAAAGACAUUCUGAUGAGGGCAAUGAAGUCAACCAUACACCAAUCAAGGUCUACCCUCAAAAGAAGCACAUGCCUGGGCUUGAUGAGUUGUGUACUACGGAUUUCUUUUGCUGAUUUUCGUAUGCCAUUAAGUCCAAUUUGAACUGUCUACUUUGUAUGUUUCUAUAAGUAUUUAUGGCUGAAAUUCCAAACAUCUUCACUUCUUUUCAUGAGCAUUUAAGGCUGAAAUUCCAGCCCAGUGUUUAUAGGAACUGUUGAGAUUUCUAGCCAAAUCGAAUAGCGCCCCUUCAAAGGCCUCUUUUUGCUCUAACAAAUAGGAGAACGAAGUUGAUGUCGAAGAUAAAAACAUAUAUUUUGAAUGAAAAUGUUGCCCUUAGCUCUUCCUCCAAGCUGAUGGUUAUACUGACAAAUAGGAGGACCCUCAUUUAAUUUUUUUAUGAAAGUUUUUUAUUACUUGUUAUACUUGUAAUAAAUGCAAUACAGUGUCUACCUCCUUGUACCCUAUUCUAGUCAAUCCAUAACAUAUCAUAAACGACCACCCUAGUUAGAGUGAUUUUCCAUUGUACUUACGAUUUAAGUCCAAUUUUGAAAGCAAGACCGUAACCCUAACUACGAACAUGACCCUAUUGUGAUUACUAAAAAAGGAUACUGAUUUUAGCUGGCCAGCCUUCAUUGAAAUAAUUCUCCUCUGCCCACAAAGAUGUGGCCACUGGCAUGUUAAAGUGGAUGUUCUAGUUAUCCUUUUUGGAGGCAGCAAAGGCAAGAUGGAGAAAUCAGAUGGCAUGAUCCUUCACCCUUUUCUCACUGUAUUCCUUCCCAAGCAGGUUUCGCCAUUAGAAUCGUCUGCCAAAAUACUUCGAAGAUAUAAUUUGAUUAAAAAAAAUGAAAAUAUAACAAAUAUCACAUGCUUGAUACUUGGUUUUAUUUUUCCCUCCUGUCGGGGGGAGGGGGGUAAUGGUAGUGCGAAAUUGUAAAAGUUACCGGAUUUUUAUAAAGCCAUCAUAAGGUAAUCUCACAUUGGACCCACUACCUGAUUAAAAAACGGCCAUGUCUCCAUGUUUUGGGCUCUUAGCGUGUCACAGUUGAUAGACUGGUAGAUCUUCCCAUUUGGACGCAACAACUUUGGCCUCUGCCACGAAACAGCAAGGUUACAUCAGGGAAAUUACAUAAAAAUAAAAUCUAUUUGAUGAAAUAAUUUUUUUACAGGAACUGUGAAUAAAUGAAUUCCCAAAGCAUGUGGUAUCUUCAAUGCCAAAUUGGCACAAAGACAUGCCACAUUUAUAUGAGAAACUGGACCCUUUUAAUGUAUAACCAAAAUCAAGCUACUUUAGUUGGCAUAAAAAUUUGAACAGGGGAAUGAAGGAAGAGAAAAAUGCAUAUGAUAAACCUCAAAAAUAGGGCUCCUCCUCGUCAACAGAAUAUUGCAUCAGGAAAUUGUGUUAAAGCAGCCUUACCGAGAGUUAAUAAAAAACGGCUUAAAAAUACUUUCAAUAAACUUUAAAAGGUUCGAAUUGGCAUAACAUAGUGAAACGCCCAUUCCCAUGACUCUCAGCAGCAGCACCCAUGCUCACUCAUGAAAUUUGAAAACACUCUUGAAUAGAGUCACUUCACAUUCACAGCACCUUUCCUCUUCGGUAUGAGUGAUGAUUCAAUAUAUAGUAAAGCCAUCGUUGAUUAUAAAUGAUGCAGUUCGGACAGAGGUUCAUGACUAUAAUAAAUUCACUCAGAAAAACCAGUGGAUUUCUGUGAAUUUGAGAUUUAACAAAACUAAAAGAGUAAAAAGCGCAAAAACAGCAUAAAAAAUAGUAUAUAAUAAAACAUUAAGAAUUUGAUACAAUAAAUUAUUUCCAAAUAAUAUUAAAAUAACGCUGAGGCUAUUAGAGGCUACUUCUAUUCAGCCCACCUGGGUCGCCAAAAUAGAUCUUGACGUGGUGUAUAUAAGCUCCCAUUUUCCAUCCAGCAGAUUAGACUUGAAUGGCUCUUUUACCGAAUUAACUGCUUCUAGUUUCUGUGCAAUCUGGUGAUGAAAUCUGGCAUAACGUUAAAAAAAUUUUAAUGGACUUUGAGAAUACAAAAAAUAUCUACGGAGGAAAAUAACUCAUAAAAGGAUAUACGUCAGCAUCGCAUCCGGCAUCCACUGAUUUUUCCAAGCGAAUAACCUUCCCAAGAUGGUUGUACCAUAUUGCAUCAUUUUAUCAAACAUAAUAAGAAAUUAGAAGAGCCAACAGACUUACAAUGACGACGACAAUCACCCUGGAGCUAACAAGCUCACUCUAUCCGAUAUUGGACCCUGUCUGCUCUUAUGGCAACGGAAUAUGGGACGGCAAUCUAGGUUUAGGGUACAAACAGGAAAACCUGAAGGUAACGGCUACUUGUCUCAUCAUCACUGAUUCCAACACUGUUUCCUGACCAAACAUGAUUCCGUGCACUCUGUUCAUCAGUGGUUUCGUUCCAUUCAUAGCAGAACCAAAGUUUAUAUCAAUGUUCACGAACACGAUCCACAACAUAUAUAUAUAUAGAUAUAUGUAUGUAUAUGUAUAUGUAGAGAGAGAGAGAGAGAGAGAGUCAAAACGGAACUCGCCACAUAUGUGGAGAUCCCAAACCAUACCUUGUCGAUCCGCUCCCUGUCCUCUUCAGUGGCUUCUGCGCCACGGUCGAGGGGAGCGAUUGCCUCGAGGAGCUCCUCCUUGAUCUCUUCAGGGUUUCCGCCCUUCUUUCUGUUCAAGGAGGUGAAGAAGGAGACCCCCAACCUCCACCUCUCCGCAGCCCCCGCUGUGCUCGAGAGCCGCUGGACUCCGCCACUCCAAGAAGCUCCCACAUCCCGACCGUUCCGCCGGGAGGGCAACCGCAAACCCGCAAAACCAAGAGACGGGCCUGCCGACUGAGCUCUGAGCGGGGAGAACGAAACCAGGGAGGAGGAUGAAGGCGUGGCCAGCGCCAUCGACGAGCAGAAGAGGAUCACGCUCGCUCCUGCGGCAUCACUUGAAAAUAAAAAGCUGCUUCAUUUUUGCCCUUCGGUUCAGAAUUUCUAGUAGUCUCUGGAUGACCGUUAGUCUAUUCGGGUGGUUGGAAUGGCGCGAGGUGGGUGAGGUCAAUUUUCAGCCCAACCCAAUUAAAAUGUUGUCAUAAAAAAAAACCCACAAAAAUGUUUUCACAUUAGAAAUAUUUUAUAUAGGACAUUGAACAUACUCCUUAUCAUAAAUAGGUCGCAUAUUUAAUUUAUAUAAAUAUUUAUAAUUAACCUCAUAAUAUAGGGACAUUAGAAAGGUAUUGAGGAUAUCACUACAUCUGUUUAAUAAAAUUUUAAAAAAAUCAAUUCAUGCAUGCCCAAAUAAUUAGAUUGACGACCACUAUGUUCUGAUUAAUAUCAAAAAAGUAAAAAAUAAAUAUUUAUAUAUAUUUAAAUAAUAAUAGUAAAAAAAUGACGCAGCUAAAACAUCAUUUUUAUUAGGCCAUAAAGUAGAAACGUGCAAAUGUGGCACAAAUACUUAUUGGCCUCCUAUAGAGUACAAGAAAACCAGUCCAAACUCUAUCUAGUCGUCUAUAAUCUAUUUUUUUUUAAUUCUUUUAUGCCAUAUUUUUUUUUGAUUUUGCUAAGAAUCCUAUUACAUUUUAGAGCAUGUUUCAAAAUCUAUUUUACUUUUCUGAGUUUAUUUUAUUUUUUAGGAUGUCUCACCUCCAUCAUAGGUCUAAAUAAAGGCAUACAUUAUAACCCCUAAGACAUUCUGUUCAAAUAUUUCAAAAUUUUCUCAUUUGGCAACUUCCUAUUUUUCUACAUGUGGAUUCAAGUGUCCAUUACAGAUUUAUAACUUUUUUUUUCUUUUUUUAAUCUUGUGGAUUCAAAAUCACCCCUUUGUUGAUUCAAGAAUUGAAGAUUAUAAUUGUGUGAAUUCAAGACUUGGUUUGCUAUAAGGUUGGGGUUUAUAUAUACAAAUCUACAUCUUAUCAUAUUCUGCAACAAGAUAAUAUCAAAAGUUUAUUUUUAUAAUUAAUUUUUUGUCCAUAAUUAGGAAAGCUAAUACAUUUUAUAAUAUAUUAAGUAUUUUUUAAAAUAUAUUCUUAUAAAAUCUAUUAUUUACUAAAAAAUGAACUGAUAUGACAAGCUUAGGUAUUUAAGUAGAUAAUUUUUCUUGCCACCUUUAAUGGAGUAUUCUUUUAACACGAUCUACCAUGGUAAGCCAGAUGAUCAGAUAAAAAUAUUUUUAUCAAUCAGAAAAUACCAUAAACUCCUUUGAAGAAGAGGAAAAGUGCACACAAAGUGAAAAGGUUUUGGAUGAUGGAAAAGCAAGGAACUACAGAGAAGGAAUCCAGAGAAUGGAUGGGGAAAUGCAUAGCAGACUCAGGAUUCAAGCCACCUAAAAAAUUACUUGACAUGCAAACAAUAGAACAAGAAGAGUAGAAACCUCUAAUGAUGCAACAGGACUAAAUAUAGUCAGCCAUUUUCAGGGGGAAAAAAUAAGAUCCCACAUAGAUGAAGAACUUGUUCAGAGACUGAAAUAAAUCAGAACAAUGCAGGCAGGUAAUUUGUGGGUUGAUAAACACUGUCCACUUAUCUUUCACAGGAUGAAAAAUAGUUGGAAGAGAACCAGUCAGGAAGCGGUAAAAGGGUAGCAUGGUCUUGAUAUCUCCAUUCACAUGCCGGCAAUUUAGAUUGAUCAUCAAAAACCGUUGUUGGUGGGAGCGGUCUUCGUUUGUCUGUUCUCAUGCCAACUAAAAAAAUUAAAAAAAAAUGCUGAAUAUGUUUGGAAUGUUAGCAGUGAGCAGAAAUUUGAUAGAGCACCGGUCGAAGUUGAGGCCUUGAAAAAUCAUAUCUUCAUUCCUCUUUUUUUUUAUAACCUAUUUAGACACAAAUAUGCCGAUGCCAUAUGCAAAAAAAAAAUGCGUCUAGAAUGUCAGUAGUGGGUAGAAAUUUUUUGAUACAAGAAACUAUUUGAACAUUAAAUAUCAGAAGAGCGAGUGAUGAUCUCCAUGAGUCUUGUUAGGAGGGAGGGUCUUAAACUCUAUUUCAUACAGCAAAAUGCAGGGAAUUAGUGCCAUGAAACGAUUCCCAAUUAACUCACAGACAAAUUAAUGUGGUAAAUCCUCAAGGCAGAGAAGAAGCAAGCCAUAGAACAAGAAGAGAGAAGCAGAGAAUGGAGAACCGGGAAAGCAUGCAAUGGCUCACACAGUUCUUGAUAAGCAUAAAGUGGAGGAAGCAAUUCCUCAGCAGGCGUGCCCCAUGAACAGAUUGAUCAGACCAUUUGAGCAGACAGAUGCCGAGUAUGGAGAGAACUUAAAAUGAGGCCAUAGUAAAAAAAAAAAAAGAAAAAAAAAUCUAGGAGCAACGAAAAUAAUUCCUUUAAUACAAAUUUUUGAUUCGGAAAAACCAAAAAGAUCCUCACCCAAUGUCAACCCUGAAGAGGGAAUGAUGAAGUUGUGGCCAUGAAAUCAUUACAAUUACAGACGCAGAGGAAGGAAGUAAAGAAGAAGACCGCCCCAGACGCGGUGCAGGCUUCCAUUCACUACACGAAGGGAGCUUACGUCGGACGACGGUGGUAGAGAUUAA